RNAcentral lists this ribosomal RNA (380 nucleotides) under uncultured eukaryote. Its description in RNAcentral is "partial 18S ribosomal RNA". It matches the Rfam family "Eukaryotic small subunit ribosomal RNA", at positions 592 to 976 of the family's 1831-position model. The record is from RNAcentral.
CAAUAGCGUAUAUUAAAGUUGUUGCGGUUAAAAAGCUCGUAGUUGGAUUUCUGCUGAGAACGACCGGUCCGCCCUUUGGGUGUGUAUCUGGCUCUUUCUUGGCAUCUUCUUGGUGAACGUUGCUGCACUUGACUGUGUGGAGCGCUACCCAGGACUUUUACUUUGAGGAAAUUAGAGUGUUUCAAGCAGGCAUACGCCUUGAAUACAUUAGCAUGGAAUAAUAAGAUAGGACCUCGGUUCUAUUUUGUUGGUUUCUAGAGCUGAGGUAAUGAUUAAUAGGGAUAGUUGGGGGCAUUCGUAUUUAACUGUCAGAGGUGAAAUUCUUGGAUUUGUUAAAGACGUACUACUGCGAAAGCAUUUGCCAAGGAUGUUUUCAUUGA